GCUCUGUUUGGCGGGUUUCUGACGAACUCAUCGAACGAGGAACAAAGUUGCUCGCCGGACACCAACUUUAUCUUUGGUUUAGAACCCUCGUCAGUUAUCAGAUUUUAUCCAUUGCUGAUUUUCUUCUCAAAAUGACGGCGAGCUACCUACACAUCGCUUUGCGGAGAAGAAGAAGGAAGUUGUUGGUGAAUCCACGUCAGCGGGAUCCAAACUUUUGAACCGGUCAUCCACAUUGUGACGGCAAACGAGAAGUGGCGUCGUUCGCCAAACUCCAAUGAUCAGCGGGUGAGGAAUUUCCCAGAUUACCAUGACAAGACAAUCAGUUAAAAGAAAGAAUGUGCCAGUGGAUAUUGAGUCAGAAAAGUAAC
Nerophis ophidion (straightnose pipefish) is the source of this 368-nucleotide long non-coding RNA. RefSeq lists it as uncharacterized. The transcript is spliced from 3 exons. Lineage: Eukaryota; Metazoa; Chordata; Actinopteri; Syngnathiformes; Syngnathidae. The record is from RefSeq and is a predicted model, not a curated record.